AUGAGUCGACCUGAUAGGAUCAACAUCCCCGACGGCAAGUUCUACCUUGGAGAUGCUGGCUAUGCAUGUCGGCCGGGUAUUAUUCCACCCUUCAGGAAAACCAGGUACCAUCUCAACAAGUUCUCUGGUAGGAACUAUCCUAGGACUGCACAUGAGUUGUUUAAUCUCAGACACUCCAGCCUUAGAGUAACUGUUGAGAGGGCAUUUGGAGCUCUGAAGAAUAGGUUUAAGAUCUUGGAUCAGAAGCCAUUCCACCCAUACUCCACUCAGGUUAAUCUUGUUCUUGCUUGUUGCAUUCUGCAUAACUAG
This 309-nucleotide ribosomal RNA is filed under the name Triticum aestivum (bread wheat). RNAcentral describes it as "partial small subunit ribosomal RNA". The record is from RNAcentral. Lineage: Eukaryota; Viridiplantae; Streptophyta; Magnoliopsida; Poales; Poaceae.